RNAcentral lists this ribosomal RNA (163 nucleotides) under Muraltia macrocarpa. RNAcentral's name for it is "5.8S ribosomal RNA". It matches the Rfam family "5.8S ribosomal RNA". From Rfam's summary of the family: 5.8S ribosomal RNA (5.8S rRNA) is a component of the large subunit of the eukaryotic ribosome. It is transcribed by RNA polymerase I as part of the 45S precursor that also contains 18S and 28S rRNA. The record is from RNAcentral. Lineage: Eukaryota; Viridiplantae; Streptophyta; Magnoliopsida; Fabales; Polygalaceae.
GAAUGACUCUCGGCAACGGAUAUCUCGGCUCUCGCAUCGAUGAAGAACGCAGCGAAAUGCGAUACUUGGUGUGAAUUGCAGAAUCCCGUGAACCAUUGAGUCUUUGAACGCAAGUUGCGCCCGACGCCUUCUGGCUGAGGGCAUGUCUGCCUGGGCGUCACGC